Molecule: ribosomal RNA, 1343 nt
Filed under: uncultured bacterium
Lineage: Bacteria
Description: 16S ribosomal RNA
Rfam family: Bacterial small subunit ribosomal RNA
Source: RNAcentral
GACGAACGCUGGCGGCGUGCUUAACACAUGCAAGUCGAACGGAAAGGCCCUGCUUUUGUGGGGUGCUCGAGUGGCGAACGGGUGAGUAACACGUGAGUAACCUGCCCUUGACUUUGGGAUAACUUCAGGAAACUGGGGCUAAUACCGGAUAGGAGCUCCUGCUGCAUGGUGGGGGUUGGAAAGUUUCGGCGGUUGGGGAUGGACUCGCGGCUUAUCAGCUUGUUGGUGGGGUAGUGGCUUACCAAGGCUUUGACGGGUAGCCGGCCUGAGAGGGUGACCGGCCACAUUGAGACUGAGAUACGGCCCGGACUCCUACGGGAGGCAGCAGUGGGGAAUAUUGCACAAUGGGCGGAAGCCUGAUGCAGCAACGCCGCGUGCGGGAUGACGGCCUUCGGGUUGUAAACCGCUUUCGCCUGUGACGAAGCGUGAGUGACGGUAAUGGGUAAAGAAGCACCGGCUAACUACGUGCCAGCAGCCGCGGUGAUACGUAGGGUGCGAGCGUUGUCCGGAUUUAUUGGGCGUAAAGGGCUCGUAGGUGGUUGAUCGCGUCGGAAGUGUAAUCUUGGGGCUUAACCCUGAGCGUGCUUUCGAUACGGGUUGACUUGAGGAAGGUAGGGGAGAAUGGAAUUCCUGGUGGAGCGGUGGAAUGCGCAGAUAUCAGGAGGAACACCAGUGGCGAAGGCGGUUCUCUGGGCCUUUCCUGACGCUGAGGAGCGAAAGCGUGGGGAGCGAACAGGCUUAGAUACCCUGGUAGUCCACGCUGUAAACGGUGGGUACUAGGUGUGGGGUCCAUUCCACGGGUUCCGUGCCGUAGCUAACGCUUUAAGUACCCCGCCUGGGGAGUACGGCCGCAAGGCUAAAACUCAAAGGAAUUGACGGGGCCCCGCACAAGCGGCGGAGCAUGCGGAUUAAUUCGAUGCAACGCGUAGAACCUUACCUGGGUUUGACAUGGAUCGGGAGUGCUCAGAGAUGGGUGUGCCUCUUUUGGGGUCGGUUCACAGGUGGUGCAUGGCUGUCGUCAGCUCGUGUCGUGAGAUGUUGGGUUAAGUCCCGCAACGAGCGCAACCCUUGUUCACUGUUGCCAGCACGUUAUGGUGGGGACUCAGUGGAGACCGCCGGGGUCAACUCGGAGGAAGGUGGGGAUGACGUCAAGUCAUCAUGCCCCUUAUGUCCAGGGCUUCACGCAUGCUACAAUGGCUGGUACAGAGAGUGGCGAGCCUGUGAGGGUGAGCGAAUCUCGGAAAGCCGGUCUCAGUUCGGAUUGGGGUCUGCAACUCGACCUCAUGAAGUCGGAGUCGCUAGUAAUCGCAGAUCAGCAACGCUGCGGUGAAUACGUUCCCGGG